This is a long non-coding RNA of Numida meleagris (helmeted guineafowl), 2069 nucleotides long. Ensembl annotates it as leucine rich repeat containing 25. The record is from Ensembl. Lineage: Eukaryota; Metazoa; Chordata; Aves; Galliformes; Numididae.
UACGCCCCACACAAUGACACGGACCCACAGGGACCGCCCGUUCCUCUUUCUGCGCAGAGCCGGCUGCAGGCGGGGCCACGGGGCACCCCAUGGCCGCGCUGCUGCUGCUGCUGCUGCUGCUGCUGCCCCACGGCAUCGGGGCGACCACCCCGCAGCCCACGCUGGCGCCGUGCCGCUGCGACACGGUGGGCAAAGCGCCGGACGCGUGCCCCUACCCCCAGUGCCUCUGCUCCGCGCCCCACGGCCCCGUCAACGCCUCCGAGUUCCACGCACGGGAAUGUCGGGGCAGCGCGGGGACGACGGCGGCGGCCGUGGGUGGCAGCUUGGCAGCGGCGGCGGCGGUGGUGGUGGCGGUGGCGGCGGUGGUGGUGUGGAGGUGCAGGAGGACGGCGGGCGCUGCGGGGUGGGGGAAGCGGGAGCCCCCCCCGGUCAAAGGGCAGCCCCGCUACAUCAGCCGUGAGGCAGAGAGCGGCCCCGCUGCCGUGGGGGUCUGCCUGGCGCCCGACUAUGAGAACGUCUUCGUCGGCUCCUGUGCGGCCCCCAGCGAGGCCCCGGUGCGGGACAGGACACAAGGGUGGCAGCAGAAGGGGUACAGCCCCCAGGCGCCGUCGGACGAUCUCUAUUUCCUGGAGAGCGACACAGGGGAGCAGCCCAUCUAUGCCAACACCGAGACCCCCGGAGAGGACGUGUACGUCAUCCCCGACCCGUGAGGGCAGCGCCUCGGGAGCUUCCGCCGCGCUGGGACGGCAGAGGGGAUUUUUCCCCUUUUUUUUUGUUCUGCAACGAGAGCACAAACCGCUGCGCGGCCGCUUCCUGCGCGGGGCCGAGAGCGGAAGCGGCCGCUUCUCCUCGGGGUUCGCUCCGCGAAAUGGGGACGGGGCACCGGGACGCGCCGCUCCCCGCACGUCGCGCUGCGGCACCGAGCGCCGCUCGAUGGGGACGGCCCCGCUGCUGCCCUCUGCUUUCCUGCGAAAUCCGCCGGUUUGGGGCAAAAGUGCCAUUUUUGGACGCUCUUGGCAGUGUCUGGCUGCGAGGUGACGGCUCUGGGACGUGCGCGGGGGGAGGCGGUGGGGACACGGGGACACCCCUUGUCCCAGCCCUGCGCGGCUCCUUGUGAUGCCCCACGGUGACAUUAAAUGUUGGGCUGUCCUCAGUGACCCAUAGGGCUCACGGUGUGUGGGGCGCAGAGGGCGGAACCCGCAGAGGGGCUGUGUGGGGUCCCGGGGGGGGUCCUGUUCCUGCGGCAGAGGUGCCAUCAACACGGACCCUGCACGGGCAGGUUCCCGUUUCCCAGCCCCCCAAGCACACGUCCCCAGCGUGGUGACCCCAUGUCCACAUCCACUGAGUAGUGGUCCCCAGAGCCCACAUCCCCAUGCUGGAGCUCCCCCUGUCCCAUGUCUCCGUAUCUCAUGUCCCACAUCCUCACGUCUCAUGUCCCCAUGUCUCAUGUCCACGUUCCCCUGCCCCUUGUUGCAUGUCUCAUGUCCCCUAUCUCUAUGUCCCCAACCCCACAUCUCACGUCCCCCAUCCUCCUAUCUCAUGUUCUCAUGUCUCACGUCCCCCUGUCCCAUGUUCCCCAUCCCCAUGUCCCCCCAUCCUAUGUCUCAUGUCCCCAUGUACCUAUGUCCCCCCACCCCAUGUCCCACAUCCUCAUAUCUCAUGUCCUCAUAUCUCAUGUCCCCAUCCCAUGUCCUAUGCUCCCCUGUCCCAUGUCCCCCAUCCCCACGUCCCCUGGCUGUGGGUACCAGUAAAUGACAGCACCAUGUCCCAGAUGGGUUCAGGGCUGUCCCAGCACCUGCCCCAAGGACACAGUGGGGGCAAAGUGCUGCGGGAGCAGUGCCCACACAUGACUCACCCACAGGUGAUGGAUGGAGACAGCGGGUGGGGGGGAGGGGGAGGCACGCGGUCGCAUGGGGUGGAGCUGCUGGCGCCCUGUUCCCAUCACUUUAUUCAUUUACAUCGCGAUCUGGUUUAUAGAAAUAUAUAAAUAUAAAAAAAAAAAAAUCCCAACAAAGCAUUCUGCUGUACAAUGCAAUAAAUAAUGAGCAAUAAAUAAAGGACUGUAUAAA